GAUGAACGCUAGCGACAGGCUUAACACAUGCAAGUCGAGGGGCAGCAUAAAAGUAGCAAUACUUUGGUGGCGACCGGCGCACGGGUGAGUAACGCGUAUGCAACCUACCUAUCAGAGGGGGAUAACCCGGCGAAAGUCGGACUAAUACCGCAUAAAACAGGGGCACCGCAUGGUGAUAUUUGUUAAAGAUUAAUUGCUGAUAGAUGGGCAUGCGUUCCAUUAGGUAGUUGGUGAGGUAAUGGCUCACCAAGCCGACGAUGGAUAGGGGAACUGAGAGGGUUGUCCCCCACACUGGUACUGAGACACGGACCAGACUCCUACGGGAGGCAGCAGUGAGGAAUAUUGGUCAAUGGGCGCAAGCCUGAACCAGCCAUCCCGCGUGAAGGAAGAAUGCGCUACGCGUUGUAAACUUCUUUUCCAGGGGGAGAAUAAUCCUGUCGUGACAGGACUUGACGGUACUCUGGGAAUAAGCAUCGGCUAACUCCGUGCCAGC
RNAcentral lists this ribosomal RNA (493 nucleotides) under uncultured bacterium. RNAcentral's name for it is "bacterial SSU rRNA". It matches the Rfam family "Bacterial small subunit ribosomal RNA", at positions 28 to 512 of the family's 1533-position model. The record is from RNAcentral.